GUCUCUGGGACCUAGCAUGAAUCAGGGUUCUACAAUUGCUGGCGCAGGGCCUGGAAGUGUAGGCUGGCAAGCACCAGAGGUCAUGGCGCAGCGAUUAUCUCCGGAAGCAGCCAGCUUGGAUGGAAGUAG
This 129-nucleotide non-coding RNA is filed under the name Chaetoceros cf. neogracilis. Lineage: Eukaryota; Bacillariophyta; Thalassiosirophyceae; Chaetocerotales; Chaetocerotaceae. The record is from RNAcentral.